RNAcentral lists this transfer RNA (58 nucleotides) under Rattus norvegicus (Norway rat). The record is from Rfam by way of RNAcentral. Lineage: Eukaryota; Metazoa; Chordata; Mammalia; Rodentia; Muridae.
UGGCUCAGUGGUUAAGAGCACUGAACGUUCUUCCAGAGGUCCUGAGUUCAAUUCUCAG